UACAGAGGGUGCGAGCGUUGUCCGGAAUCACUGGGCGUAAAGGGCGCGUAGGCGGCUUGGUAAGCGUGCGGUGAAAGCUCGAGGCUCAACCUCGAGUCUGCCGUGCGAACUGCCGAGCUGGAGCACGGUAGAGGCACAUGGAAUUCCGGGUGUAGCGGUGGAAUGCGUAGAGAUCCGGAAGAACACCGGUGGCGAAGGCGGUGUGCUGGGCCGUAGCUGACGCUGAUGCGCGACAGCGUGGGGAGCAAACAGGAUUAGAUACCCUGGUAGUCCACGCCGUAAACGAUGGGCACUAGGUCCUUGGGGGAGCGACCCCUUGAGGGCCGUCGCAAACGCAUUAAGUGCCCCGCCUGGGGAGUACGGCCGCAAGGCUGAA
This 376-nucleotide ribosomal RNA is filed under the name uncultured bacterium. RNAcentral's name for it is "bacterial SSU rRNA". It matches the Rfam family "Bacterial small subunit ribosomal RNA", at positions 524 to 898 of the family's 1533-position model. The record is from RNAcentral.